GACGAACGCUGGCGGCGUGCUUAACACAUGCAAGUCGAACGGAAAGGCCCUGCUUUUGUGCGGUGCUCGAGUGGCGAACGGGUGAGUAACACGUGAGUACCCUGUACCUGACUGUGGGAUAACUUCAGGCCACUGGGGCUAAUACCGGAUAGGAGCUCUUGCCGCAUGGUGGGGGUUGGAAAGUUUCGGUGGUUGGGGAUGGACUCGCGGCUUAUCGGCUUGUUGGUGUGGUAGUGUCUUAGCAAGGCCUUGACGGGUAGCCGGCCUGGUAGGGUGACCGGCCACAUUAGGCCUGAGAUGCGGCCCAGACUCGAACGGUAGGCAGCAGUGGAGAAGGGUGUACAGUAGGCGGAAGCCUGAUGUAGCAACGCCGCGUCGGGGAUGACGUGCUUCGGGUAGUGAUGCGCUGUCGCCUGUGACGAAACGAGAGUGACAGUAAUGGGUAAAGAAGCACCGGCUAACUACGUG
Molecule: ribosomal RNA, 468 nt
Filed under: uncultured bacterium
Lineage: Bacteria
Description: partial 16S ribosomal RNA
Rfam family: Bacterial small subunit ribosomal RNA
Source: RNAcentral